RNAcentral lists this ribosomal RNA (253 nucleotides) under uncultured bacterium. Its description in RNAcentral is "partial 16S ribosomal RNA". It matches the Rfam family "Bacterial small subunit ribosomal RNA", at positions 524 to 776 of the family's 1533-position model. The record is from RNAcentral.
UACGUCGGGUGCGAGCGUUAAUCGGAAUUACUGGGCGUAAAGCGUGCGCAGGCGGUUCGUUGUGUCGGUGGUGAAAUCCCCGGGCUUAACCUGGGAAUGGCCAUGGAAACUGGCGAACUGGAGUGCGGCAGAGGGGGGUGGAAUUCCGCGUGUAGCAGUGAAAUGCGUAGAGAUGUGGAGGAACACCGAUGGCGAAGGCAGCCCCCUGGGUCAACACUGACGCUCAUGCACGAAAGCGUGGGGAGCAAACAGG